GUGGGGAAUUUUGGACAAUGGGCGCAAGCCUGAUCCAGCAAUGCCGCGUGCAGGAAGAAGGCGCUACGCGUUGUAAACUGCUUUUAACCGGGAAGAAACCCCAGGACGUGUCCUGGGUUGACGGUACCGGAGGAAUAAGCACCGGCUAACUACGUGCCAGCAGCCGCGGUAAUACGUAGGGUGCGAGCGUUAAUCGGAAUUACUGGGCGUAAAGCGUGCGCAGGCGGUUUUGUAAGAUCGAUGUGAAAUCCCCGGGCUCAACCUGGGAACUGCAUUGGUGACUGCAAGGCUGGAGUGCGGCAGAGGGGGAUGGAAUUCCGCGUGUAGCAGUGAAAUGCGUAGAUAUGCGGAGGGACACCGAUGGCGAAGGCAAUCCCCUGGGCCUGCACUGACGCUCAUGCACGAAAGCGUGGGGAGCAAACAGGAUUAGAUACCCGGGUAGUCC
Molecule: ribosomal RNA, 445 nt
Filed under: uncultured bacterium
Lineage: Bacteria
Description: partial 16S ribosomal RNA
Rfam family: Bacterial small subunit ribosomal RNA
Source: RNAcentral